RNAcentral lists this ribosomal RNA (360 nucleotides) under uncultured Actinomycetes bacterium. RNAcentral describes it as "bacterial LSU rRNA". It matches the Rfam family "Bacterial large subunit ribosomal RNA", at positions 1402 to 1663 of the family's 2925-position model. Lineage: Bacteria; Bacillati; Actinomycetota; Actinomycetes. The record is from RNAcentral.
CCGAUAGGCGUAGUCGAUGGACAACCGGUUGAUAUUCCGGUACCCGCUUUGAAACGCCCAGUACUGAAUCAGGCGAUGCUAAGUCCGUGAAGCCGGCCCGAUCUCUUCGGAGUUGAGGGUAGUGGUGGAGCCGAUGAACCAGACUUGUAGUAGGUAAGCGAUGGGGUGACGCAGGAAGGUAGUCCAGCCCGGGCGGUGGUUGUCCCGGGGUAAGGGUGUAGGACGCACGGUAGGCAAAUCCGUCGUGCAUAUAGUCUGAGACCUGAUGCCGAGCCGAUUGUGGUGAAGUGGAUGAUCCUAUGCUGUCGAGAAAAGCCUCUAGCGAGUUUCAUGGCGGCCCGUACCCCAAACCAACUCAGG